GGGGUGGUUGAGUCCCGGUGGGCUCCGCGGUCUUCAAAACCGUCUGGGGGGCGCUGCAGAGGCGUCCCCGGUGGGUUCGACUCCCAUCCACUCCCGCCA
RNAcentral lists this transfer RNA (99 nucleotides) under Anaerolineae bacterium. Its description in RNAcentral is "tRNA-Sec". It matches the Rfam family "Selenocysteine transfer RNA". The record is from RNAcentral. Lineage: Bacteria; Bacillati; Chloroflexota; Anaerolineae.